CGUUCCCGGGCCUUGUACACACCGCCCGUCACACCACGAAAGCGAGCAACACCCGAAGCCGGUGGCCUAACCCGCAAGGGAGGGAGCCGUCGAAGGUGGGCCCGUGAUUGGGGUG
Molecule: ribosomal RNA, 115 nt
Filed under: uncultured bacterium
Lineage: Bacteria
Description: partial 16S ribosomal RNA
Rfam family: Bacterial small subunit ribosomal RNA
Source: RNAcentral